UGUUCCAUGGCUAAACUGGUCAAGGCUGGUUUGAGGCGAAGAUGCGGGUUCGAUUCCCGCUGGAAUGG
RNAcentral lists this transfer RNA (68 nucleotides) under Operophtera brumata (winter moth). It matches the Rfam family "tRNA". From Rfam's summary of the family: Transfer RNA (tRNA) molecules are approximately 80 nucleotides in length. Their secondary structure includes four short double-helical elements and three loops (D, anti-codon, and T loops). Lineage: Eukaryota; Metazoa; Arthropoda; Insecta; Lepidoptera; Geometridae. The record is from Rfam by way of RNAcentral.